CAAGCCUGAUCCAGCCAUGCCGCGUGGGUGAAGAAGGCCUUCGGGUUGUAAAGCCCUUUUGUUGGGAAAGAAAAGCAGCCGGCCAAUACCCGGUUGUUCUGACGGUACCCAAAGAAUAAGCACCGGCUAACUUCGUGCCAGCAGCCGCGGUAAUACGAAGGGUGCAAGCGUUACUCGGAAUUACUGGGCGUAAAGCGUGCGUAGGUGGUGGUUUAAGUCCGUUGUGAAAGCCCUGGGCUCAACCUCGGAACUGCCUUUGAUACUGGAAGUCUUGAGUCCGAGAGAGGUGAGUGGAACUCCGAGUGUAGAGGUGAAAUUCGUAGAUAUUCGGAAGAACACCAGUGGCGAAGGCGGCUCACUGGCUCGGUACUGACGCUGAGGUGCGAAAGCGUGGGGAGCAAACA
RNAcentral lists this ribosomal RNA (404 nucleotides) under uncultured Pseudomonadota bacterium. Its description in RNAcentral is "bacterial SSU rRNA". It matches the Rfam family "Bacterial small subunit ribosomal RNA", at positions 378 to 774 of the family's 1533-position model. The record is from RNAcentral. Lineage: Bacteria; Pseudomonadati; Pseudomonadota.